RNAcentral lists this ribosomal RNA (2906 nucleotides) under Escherichia coli. RNAcentral's name for it is "23S ribosomal RNA". It matches the Rfam family "Bacterial large subunit ribosomal RNA". The record is from RNAcentral. Lineage: Bacteria; Pseudomonadati; Pseudomonadota; Gammaproteobacteria; Enterobacterales; Enterobacteriaceae.
GGUUAAGCGACUAAGCGUACACGGUGGAUGCCCUGGCAGUCAGAGGCGAUGAAGGACGUGCUAAUCUGCGAUAAGCGUCGGUAAGGUGAUAUGAACCGUUAUAACCGGCGAUUUCCGAAUGGGGAAACCCAGUGUGUUUCGAUACACUAUCAUUAACUGAAUCCAUAGGUUAAUGAGGCGAACCGGGGGAACUGAAACAUCUAAGUACCCCGAGGAAAAGAAAUCAACCGAGAUUCCCCCAGUAGCGGCGAGCGAACGGGGAGCAGCCCAGAGCCUGAAUCAGUGUGUGUGUUAGUGGAAGCGUCUGGAAAGGCGCGCGAUACAGGGUGACAGCCCCGUACACAAAAAUACACAUACUGUGAGCUCGAUGAGUAGGGCGGGACACGUGGUAUCCUGUCUGAAUAUGGGGGGACCAUCCUCCAAGGCUAAAUACUCCUGACUGACCGAUAGUGAACCAGUACCGUGAGGGAAAGGCGAAAAGAACCCCGGCGAGGGGAGUGAAAAAGAACCUGAAACCGUGUACGUACAAGCAGUGGGAGCACGCUUAGGCGUGUGACUGCGUACCUUUUGUAUAAUGGGUCAGCGACUUAUAUUCUGUAGCAAGGUUAACCGAAUAGGGGAGCCGAAGGGAAACCGAGUCUUAACUGGGCGUUAAGUUGCAGGGUAUAGACCCGAAACCCGGUGAUCUAGCCAUGGGCAGGUUGAAGGUUGGGUAACACUAACUGGAGGACCGAACCGACUAAUGUUGAAAAAUUAGCGGAUGACUUGUGGCUGGGGGUGAAAGGCCAAUCAAACUGGGAGAUAGCUGGUUCUCCCCGAAAGCUAUUUAGGUAGCGCCUCGUGAAUUCAUCUCCGGGGGUAGAGCACUGUUUCGGCAAGGGGGUCAUCCCGACUUACCAACCCGAUGCAAACUGCGAAUACCGGAGAAUGUUAUCACGGGAGACACACGGCGGGUGCUAACGUCCGUCGUGAAGAGGGAAACAACCCAGACCGCCAGCUAAGGUCCCAAAGUCAUGGUUAAGUGGGAAACGAUGUGGGAAGGCCCAGACAGCCAGGAUGUUGGCUUAGAAGCAGCCAUCAUUUAAAGAAAGCGUAAUAGCUCACUGGUCGAGUCGGCCUGCGCGGAAGAUGUAACGGGGCUAAACCAUGCACCGAAGCUGCGGCAGCGACGCUUAUGCGUUGUUGGGUAGGGGAGCGUUCUGUAAGCCUGCGAAGGUGUGCUGUGAGGCAUGCUGGAGGUAUCAGAAGUGCGAAUGCUGACAUAAGUAACGAUAAAGCGGGUGAAAAGCCCGCUCGCCGGAAGACCAAGGGUUCCUGUCCAACGUUAAUCGGGGCAGGGUGAGUCGACCCCUAAGGCGAGGCCGAAAGGCGUAGUCGAUGGGAAACAGGUUAAUAUUCCUGUACUUGGUGUUACUGCGAAGGGGGGACGGAGAAGGCUAUGUUGGCCGGGCGACGGUUGUCCCGGUUUAAGCGUGUAGGCUGGUUUUCCAGGCAAAUCCGGAAAAUCAAGGCUGAGGCGUGAUGACGAGGCACUACGGUGCUGAAGCAACAAAUGCCCUGCUUCCAGGAAAAGCCUCUAAGCAUCAGGUAACAUCAAAUCGUACCCCAAACCGACACAGGUGGUCAGGUAGAGAAUACCAAGGCGCUUGAGAGAACUCGGGUGAAGGAACUAGGCAAAAUGGUGCCGUAACUUCGGGAGAAGGCACGCUGAUAUGUAGGUGAGGUCCCUCGCGGAUGGAGCUGAAAUCAGUCGAAGAUACCAGCUGGCUGCAACUGUUUAUUAAAAACACAGCACUGUGCAAACACGAAAGUGGACGUAUACGGUGUGACGCCUGCCCGGUGCCGGAAGGUUAAUUGAUGGGGUUAGCCGCAAGGCGAAGCUCUUGAUCGAAGCCCCGGUAAACGGCGGCCGUAACUAUAACGGUCCUAAGGUAGCGAAAUUCCUUGUCGGGUAAGUUCCGACCUGCACGAAUGGCGUAAUGAUGGCCAGGCUGUCUCCACCCGAGACUCAGUGAAAUUGAACUCGCUGUGAAGAUGCAGUGUACCCGCGGCAAGACGGAAAGACCCCGUGAACCUUUACUAUAGCUUGACACUGAACAUUGAGCCUUGAUGUGUAGGAUAGGUGGGAGGCUUAGAAGUGUGGACGCCAGUCUGCAUGGAGCCGACCUUGAAAUACCACCCUUUAAUGUUUGAUGUUCUAACGUUGACCCGUAAUCCGGGUUGCGGACAGUGUCUGGUGGGUAGUUUGACUGGGGCGGUCUCCUCCUAAAGAGUAACGGAGGAGCACGAAGGUUGGCUAAUCCUGGUCGGACAUCAGGAGGUUAGUGCAAUGGCAUAAGCCAGCUUGACUGCGAGCGUGACGGCGCGAGCAGGUGCGAAAGCAGGUCAUAGUGAUCCGGUGGUUCUGAAUGGAAGGGCCAUCGCUCAACGGAUAAAAGGUACUCCGGGGAUAACAGGCUGAUACCGCCCAAGAGUUCAUAUCGACGGCGGUGUUUGGCACCUCGAUGUCGGCUCAUCACAUCCUGGGGCUGAAGUAGGUCCCAAGGGUAUGGCUGUUCGCCAUUUAAAGUGGUACGCGAGCUGGGUUUAGAACGUCGUGAGACAGUUCGGUCCCUAUCUGCCGUGGGCGCUGGAGAACUGAGGGGGGCUGCUCCUAGUACGAGAGGACCGGAGUGGACGCAUCACUGGUGUUCGGGUUGUCAUGCCAAUGGCACUGCCCGGUAGCUAAAUGCGGAAGAGAUAAGUGCUGAAAGCAUCUAAGCACGAAACUUGCCCCGAGAUGAGUUCUCCCUGACUCCUUGAGAGUCCUGAAGGAACGUUGAAGACGACGACGUUGAUAGGCCGGGUGUGUAAGCGCAGCGAUGCGUUGAGCUAACCGGUACUAAUGAACCGUGAGGCUUAACCUU